This 796-nucleotide long non-coding RNA is filed under the name Medicago truncatula (barrel medic). RNAcentral's name for it is "lncRNA gene2261". The record is from RNAcentral. Lineage: Eukaryota; Viridiplantae; Streptophyta; Magnoliopsida; Fabales; Fabaceae.
UGGAAAAACAGCAGUGUACUCUGAGAAUGAACCAAGUAUGAUCUCAUGAAAUCUAAUAAAGCAAAAUUUAACUCCACUAAUAGCAAAACUAAAGAAUCUAAUCAUCACCAAAUAGACCGAAACCAAUGUCUUCAUCAGACUCUUCUUCAGGCUCUUCCUUCUUAGCCUCCUCCUUGGCAGCGGCAGCAGGGGCACCGCCAGAUGCAGCAGCAGCUGGGGCAGCAACAGCUACAGCAAAUUUACUUGGGUCCUUCAGGUACUCCUUAACCUUGUCUGCCUCAGGGAAAGAAUAUUCGGUAGCAACGGCAAAAGCAAGAACGUUCUUGUAGGCAUUGACAAACAUAUGAGGAGCAGCGGCAAGUGUUGGAUUUGAAGCAAUGACCGAUAUGUUCGGUGCCUUGGUGUAACGUUAAGAGAUCUCAAGGAUCAAUUAAAUGAAUUCAACCAAGGAGUCAACUCCGGAGACACAAGGAGGAUGGAAUACGUUCGAUAUAAACGUACAACGCUCGAUGAGGAGAGAAUAUCAUUAAGUUGGGUGGAAUUAACGAACGACGAAAAUGUGAUGAGCAUAUUAUGGGAGCAGAGCAUGCUCUAAUGGAUUGAUAUGCGUGUAACGUUGCUGAGAUCAACUGAAGAUAUUAUCAAUAGUCUGAUUUCGCUAGAAGAUCGUGAUUAGGUAUGGAAUGCAUCUUCCAACUACAACAAUUGUCUUACCCUGAAAUGGAAAUUCAAACUUGUUAAACACCAGUUCCCAAACUUUUCACCCAGCAGUUCUAUUGUUCCAUUCAAAAGAUUA